GAAAGGGUAGAAACGAUCGAUCGAUCGACAAAUGGCAUUUAUUACGUUUCAAAAUGUUCCAAUAUCGGGCAGGUAUUAUUUCAGU
Molecule: non-coding RNA, 85 nt
Organism: Apis mellifera (honey bee)
Lineage: Eukaryota; Metazoa; Arthropoda; Insecta; Hymenoptera; Apidae
Source: RefSeq, marked provisional